This 490-nucleotide ribosomal RNA is filed under the name uncultured Actinomycetales bacterium. Its description in RNAcentral is "partial 16S ribosomal RNA". The record is from RNAcentral. Lineage: Bacteria; Bacillati; Actinomycetota; Actinomycetes; Actinomycetales.
CACGUAGUUAGCCGGCGCUUCUUCUGCAGGUACCGUCACUCCGAAGAGCUUCUUCCCUACUGAAAGAGGUUUACAACCCGAAGGCCGUCAUCCCUCACGCGGCGUCGCUGCAUCAGGCUUUCGCCCAUUGUGCAAUAUUCCCCACUGCUGCCUCCCGUAGGAGUCUGGGCCGUGUCUCAGUCCCAGUGUGGCCGGUCACCCUCUCAGGCCGGCUACCCGUCGUCGCCUUGGUAGGCCAUCACCCCACCAACAAGCUGAUAGGCCGCGAGCCCAUCCCCAACCGAUAAAUCUUUCCACACACACCCAUGCAGGCAUGCGUCAUAUCCAGUAUUAGCCACGAUUUCUCGCAGUUAUCCCGAAGUUGAGGGCAGGUUACUCACGUGUUACUCACCCGUUCGCCACUAAUCCACCCCAGCAAGCUGGAGCUUCAUCGUUCGACUUGCAUGUGUUAAGCACGCCGCCAGCGUUCGUCCUGAGCCAGGAUCAAACU